GAUGAACGCUAGCUACAGGCUUAACACAUGCAAGUCGAGGGGAAACGAUAGAGAAAGCUUGCUUUUUCUAGGCGUCGACCGGCGCACGGGUGAGUAACGCGUAUCCAACCUGCCCAUCACUUGGGGAUAACCUUGCGAAAGUAAGACUAAUACCCAAUGACGUCUCUAGAAGACAUCUGAAAGAGAUUAAAGAUUUAUCGGUGAUGGAUGGGGAUGCGUCUGAUUAGCUUGUUGGCGGGGUAACGGCCCACCAAGGCGACGAUCAGUAGGGGUUCUGAGAGGAAGGUCCCCCCACAUUGGAACUGAGACACGGUCCAAACUCCUACGGGAGGCAGCAGUGAGGAAUAUUGGUCAAUGGACGAGAGUCUGAACCAGCCAAGUAGCGUGCAGGAUGACGGCCCUAUGGGUUGUAAACUUCUUUUAUAAAGGAAUAAAGUCGGGUAUGCAUACCCGUUUGCAUGUACUUUAUGAAUAAGGAUCGGCUAACUCCGUG
RNAcentral lists this ribosomal RNA (493 nucleotides) under uncultured bacterium. Its description in RNAcentral is "bacterial SSU rRNA". It matches the Rfam family "Bacterial small subunit ribosomal RNA", at positions 28 to 507 of the family's 1533-position model. The record is from RNAcentral.